GCCGAGGUGGUGAAAUUGGUAGACACGCAUGAUUCAGGUUCAUGUGAGGCGACUCGUGGAGGUUCAAGUCCUCUCCUCGGCA
This 82-nucleotide transfer RNA is filed under the name Methylomagnum ishizawai. It matches the Rfam family "tRNA". Rfam says of the family: Transfer RNA (tRNA) molecules are approximately 80 nucleotides in length. Their secondary structure includes four short double-helical elements and three loops (D, anti-codon, and T loops). The record is from Rfam by way of RNAcentral. Lineage: Bacteria; Pseudomonadati; Pseudomonadota; Gammaproteobacteria; Methylococcales; Methylococcaceae.